Molecule: ribosomal RNA, 423 nt
Filed under: uncultured archaeon
Lineage: Archaea
Description: partial 16S ribosomal RNA
Rfam family: Archaeal small subunit ribosomal RNA
Source: RNAcentral
CUACGGGACGCUCCAGGCGAGAAAACUUUGCAAUGUGCGAAAGCACGACAAGGUUAAUCCGAGUGGUUUGUGCUAAACGAACCUUUUGACAGUCCUAGAAACACUGUUGAAUAAGGGGUGGGCAAGUUCUGGUGUCAGCCGCCGCGGUGAAAACCAGCACCUCAAGUGGUCAGGAUGAUUAUUGGGCCUAAAGCAUCCGUAGCCGGCUCUGUAAGUUUUCGGUUAAAUCUGUACGCUCAACGUACAGGCUGCCGGGAAUACUGCAGAGCUAGGGAGUGGGAGAGGUAGACGGUACUCGGUAGGAAGGGGUAAAAUCCUUUGAUCUAUUGAUGACCACCUGUGGCGAAGGCGGUCUACCAGAACACGUCCGACGGUGAGGGAUGAAAGCUGGGGGAGCAAACCGGAUUAGAUACCCCCGUAGUC